This 260-nucleotide ribosomal RNA is filed under the name uncultured archaeon. Its description in RNAcentral is "partial 16S ribosomal RNA". It matches the Rfam family "Archaeal small subunit ribosomal RNA", at positions 748 to 1008 of the family's 1478-position model. The record is from RNAcentral.
AGGGUGUAAACGCUGCAGACUUGGUGUUGGAGGCCCUUUGGGGGCAUUCAGUGCCGGAGAGAAGUUGUUAAGUCUGCUACUUGGGGAGUACGUCCGCAAGGAUGAACUUAAAGGAAUUGGCGGGGGAGCACCGCAACGGGAGGAGCGUGCGGUUUAAUUGGAUUCAACACCGUAAAACUCACCAGGGAAGACUGUUACAUGAAGGCCGAGAUGAAGACUCUGCUAGAUUUUCAGAGAGGUGGUGCAUGGCGUCAGUGACU